CCCUUAGAUGUUCUGGGCCGCACGCGUGCUACACUGAGUGGAUCAGCGGGUCAGGUUGCGCGAAAGCGUUUCCUAAUCUUUAAAUCCGCUCGUGAUGGGGAUUGACGGUUGCAAUUUUCUGUCAUGAACGAGGAAUACCUUGUAAGCGCGGGUCAUCAUCCCGCGCUGAAUACGUCCCUGCCCUUUGUACACACCGCCCGUCGCUCCUACCGAUUGAGUGGUCCGGUGAGGCUUUGGGAUCUGAGCGGAAAGAGCGUUUCGCUGUUUCUGCUCGGAAAACUCAGUCGAACCUUAUCAUUUAGAGGAAGGAGGAGUCGUAACA
Molecule: ribosomal RNA, 322 nt
Filed under: uncultured eukaryote
Lineage: Eukaryota
Description: partial 18S ribosomal RNA
Rfam family: Eukaryotic small subunit ribosomal RNA
Source: RNAcentral